GACGUAGGGCGCGAGCGUUGUCCGGAUUUAUUGGGCGUAAAGAGCUCGUAGGCGGCUUGUCGCGUCGAAUGUGAAAUCUCGGGGCUCAACUCCGAGCUUGCAUUCGAUACGGGCAGGCUAGAGUUCGGUAGGGGAGACUGGAAUUCCUGGUGUAGCGGUGAAAUGCGUAGAGAUCCGGAGGAACACCAGUGGCGAAGGCGACACGCUGGGCCAUACCUGACGCUAAAGCGCGACAGCAUGGGGAGCAAACGGG
Molecule: ribosomal RNA, 253 nt
Filed under: uncultured bacterium
Lineage: Bacteria
Description: partial 16S ribosomal RNA
Rfam family: Bacterial small subunit ribosomal RNA
Source: RNAcentral